AGGAGGAACAACCCCAGUGGCGGGGCCAGCUCUGCAGCCCUGGAUUCAGCUCCCGCAGUAGCUCUGGAGGUCUCCGUCUGCAGGACCUGGAGGCUCCGGGGCGGG
RNAcentral lists this microRNA precursor (105 nucleotides) under Canis lupus familiaris (dog). RNAcentral describes it as "mir-8834 microRNA precursor family". It matches the Rfam family "mir-8834 microRNA precursor family". The record is from Rfam by way of RNAcentral. Lineage: Eukaryota; Metazoa; Chordata; Mammalia; Carnivora; Canidae. RNAcentral also lists the same sequence under 1 other name.